This 497-nucleotide ribosomal RNA is filed under the name uncultured bacterium. RNAcentral describes it as "partial 16S ribosomal RNA". It matches the Rfam family "Bacterial small subunit ribosomal RNA", at positions 28 to 507 of the family's 1533-position model. The record is from RNAcentral.
GAUGAACGCUGGCGGCGUGCCUAAUACAUGCAAGUCGAGCGAACAGACGAGGAGCUUGCUCCUCUGACGUUAGCGGCGGACGGGUGAGUAACACGUGGAUAACCUACCUAUAAGACUGGGAUAACUUCGGGAAACCGGAGCUAAUACCGGAUAAUAUAUUGAACCGCAUGGUUCAAUAGUGAAAGACGGUUUUGCUGUCACUUAUAGAUGGAUCCGCGCCGCAUUAGCUAGUUGGUAAGGUAACGGCUUACCAAGGCAACGAUGCGUAGCCGACCUGAGAGGGUGAUCGGCCACACUGGAACUGAGACACGGUCCAGAGUCCUACGGGAGGCAGCAGUAGGGAAUCUUCGGCAAUGGGCGAAAGCUUGACGGAGCAACGCCGAGUGAGUGAUGAAGGUCUUCGGAUCGUAAAACUCUGUUAUUAGGGAAGAACAAAUGUGUAAGUAACUAUGCACGUCUUGACGGUACCUAAUCAGAAAGCCACGGCUAACUACGUG